GCGGCGGCGGCUACGGCGUUAGCUUACUUCUUAAAAGCUUUAUAUUUUAGAAGAUGGAAGACCUGGAUGCUUCAUACUUUGUAUAUGGAUGCCUCAGGUUACGAAGUUUCCGUCAGUCACAUGUCCAAUGUCCUUGACCUCAUUUUCAUGGUUCAGUGACUACUUGAAAAAAAAGUUCAGAUUUUUUGUAAUGUUAUAUUCUCUCUUAUUAUAAGUAAUAGGAUAACUAUAUUUGGUAUGUGCAUACCUUGCAAGGUCCUCAUGCCCGUCAGACAGUUUUCACUUGACCUCGACCUCAUUUCAUGGAUCAGUGAACAAGGUUAAGUUUUGGUGGUCAAGUCCAUAUCUCAGAUACUAUAAGCAAUAGGUCUAGUAUAUUCGGUGUAUGGAAGGACUGUAAGGUGUACAUGUCCAACUGGCAGGUGUCAUCUGACCUUGACCUCAUUUUCAUGGUUCAGUGGUUAUAGUUAAGUUUUUGUGUUUUGGUCUGUUUUUCUUAUACUGUAUGCAAUAGGUCUACUAUAUUUGGUGUAUGGAAUGAUUGUAAGGUGUACAUGUCUAGCUGGCAGGUGUCAUCUGACCUUGACCUCAUUUUCAUGGUUCAGUGGUUAUAGUUAAGUUUUUGUGUUUUGGUCUGUUUUUCUUAUACUGUAUGCAAAAGGUCUACUAUAUUUGGUGUAUGGAAUGAUUGUAAGGUGUACAUGUCUAGCUGGCAGGUGUCAUCUGACCUUGACCUCAUUUUCAUUGUUCAGUGGUCAAAGUUAAGUUUUUGAGUUUUGGUCUUUUUUUCUAAUACUAUGUGCAAUAGUUCAACUUUAUUUGGUAUGUGCGUACCUUGCAAGGUCCUCAUGCCCGUCAGACAGUUUUCACUUGACCUCGACCUCAUUUCAUGGAUCAAUGAACAAGGUUAAGUUUUGGUGGUCAAGUCCAUAUCUCAGAUACUAUAAGCAAUAGGUCUAGUAUAUUCGGUGUAUGGAAGGACUGUAAGGUGUACAUGUCCAACUGGCAGGUGUCAUCUGACCUUGACCUCAUUUUCAUGGUUCAGUGGUUAUAGUUAAGUUUUUGUGUUUUGGUCUGUUUUUCUUAUACUGUAUGCCAUAGGUCUACUAUAUUUGGUGUAUGGAAUGAUUGUCAGGUGUACAUGUCUAGCGGGCAGGUGUCAUCUGACCUUGACCUCAUUUUCAUGGUUCAGUGGUCAAAGUUAAGUUUUUGAGUUUUGGUCUUUUUUUCUAAUACUAUGUGCAAUAGUUCAACUUUAUUUGGUAUGUGCGUACCUUGCAAGGUCCUCAUGCCCGUCAGACAGUUUUCACUUGACCUCGACCUCAUUUCAUGGAUCAAUGAACAAGGUUAAGUUUUGGUGGUCAAGUCCAUAUCUCAGAUACUAUAAGCAAUAGGUCUAGUAUAUUCGGUGUAUGGAAGGACUGUAAGGUGUACAUGUCCAACUGGCAGGUGUCAUCUGACCUUGACCUCAUUUUCAUGGUUCAGUGGUUAUAGUUAAGUUUUUGUGUUUUGGUCUGUUUUUCUUAUACUGUAUGCCAUAGGUCUACUAUAUUUGGUGUAUGGAAUGAUUGUCAGGUGUACAUGUCUAGCGGGCAGGUGUCAUCUGACCUUGACCUCAUUUUCAUGGUUCAGUGGUCAAAGUUAAGUUUUUGAGUUUUGGUCUUUUUUUCUAAUACUAUGUGCAAUAGUUCAACUAUAUUUGGUAUGUGCGUACCUUGCAAGGUCCUCAUGCCCGUCAGACAGUUUUCACUUGACCUCGACCUCAUUUCAUGGAUCAAUGAACAAGGUUAAGUUUUGGUGGUCAAGUCCAUAUCUCAGAUACUAUAAGCAAUAGGUCUAGUAUAUUCGGUGUAUGGAAGGACUGUAAGGUGUACAUGUCCAACUGGCAGGUGUCAUCUGACCUUGACCUCAUUUUCAUGGUUCAGUGGUUAUAGUUAAGUUUUUGUGUUUUGGUCUGUUUUUCUUAUACUGUAUGCAAUAGUUCAACUAUAUUUGGUGUAUGGAAAUAUUUUAUGAUCUAUUUGGCAGUCACGCAGGUUUUAUUUGACCUUGACCUCAUUUUCAAGGUUCAUUGCUCAGUGUUAAGUUUUUGUGUUUUGGUCUGUUUUUUGUCGAGCCUGCGACUUUUGUCGCAGAAAGCUCGACAUAGGGAUAGCGAUCCGGCGGCGGCGGCGGCGGCGGCUACGGCGGCGGCGGCGGCGUUAGCUAACUUCUUAAAAGCUUUAUAUUUUAGAAGAUGGAAGACCUGGAUGCUUCAUACUUUGUAUAUGGAUGCCUCAUGUUACGAAGUUUCCGUCAGUCACAUGUCCAAUGUCCUUGACCUCAUUUUCAUGGUUCAGUGACUACUUGAAAAAAAAGUUCAGAUUUUUUGUAAUGUUAAAUUCUCUCUUAUUAUAAGUAAUAGGAUAACUAUAUUUGGUAUGUGCGUACCUUGCAAGGUCCUCAUGCCCUUCAGACAGUUUUCACUUGACCUCGACCUCAUUUCAUGGAUCAGUGAACAAGGUUAAGUUUUCGUGGUCAAGUCCAUAUCUCAGAUACUAUAAGCAAUAGGUCUAGUAUAUUCGGUGUAUGGAAGGACUGUAAGGUGUACAUGUCCAACUGGCAGGUGUCAUCUGACCUUGACCUCAUUUUCAUGGUUCAGUGGUUAUAGUUAAGUUUUUGUGUUUUGGUCUGUUUUUCUUAUACUGUAUGCAAUAGUUCAACUAUAUUUGGUGUAUGGAAAUAUUUUAUGAUCUAUUUGGCAGUCACGCAGGUUUUAUUUGACCUUGACCUCAUUUUCAAGGUUCAUUGCUCAGUGUUAAGUUUUUGUGUUUUGGUCUGUUUUUUGUCGAGCCUGCGACUUUUGUCGCAGAAAGCUCGACAUAGGGAUAGCGAUCCGGCGGCGGCGGCGGCGGCGGCUACGGCGGCGGCGGCGUUAGCUAACUUCUUAAAAGCUUUAUAUUUUAGAAGAUGGAAGACCUGGAUGCUUCAUACUUUGUAUAUGGAUGCCUCAUGUUACGAAGUUUCCGUCAGUCACAUGUCCAAUGUCCUUGACCUCAUUUUCAUGGUUCAGUGACUACUUGAAAAAAAAGUUCAGAUUUUUUGUAAUGUUAAAUUCUCUCUUAUUAUAAGUAAUAGGAUAACUAUAUUUGGUAUGUGCGUACCUUGCAAGGUCCUCAUGCCCUUCAGACAGUUUUCACUUGACCUCGACCUCAUUUCAUGGAUCAGUGAACAAGGUUAAGUUUUCGUGGUCAAGUCCAUAUCUCAGAUACUAUAAGCAAUAGGUCUAGUAUAUUCGGUGUAUGGAAGGACUGUAAGGUGUACAUGUCCAACUGGCAGGUGUCAUCUGACCUUGACCUCAUUUUCAUGGUUCAGUGGUUAUAGUUAAGUUUUUGUGUUUUGGUCUGUUUUUCUUAUACUGUAUGCAAUAGGUCUACUAUAUUUGGUGUAUGGAAUGAUUGUAAGGUGUACAUGUCUAGCUGGCAGGUGUCAUCUGACCUUGACCUCAUUUUCAUGGUUCAGUGGUUAUAGUUAAGUUUUUGUGUUUUGGUCUGUUUUUCUUAUACUGUAUGCCAUAGGUCUACUUUAUUUGGUGUAUGGAAUGAUUGUAAGGUGUACAUGUCCAGCGGGCAGGUGUCAUCUGACCUUGACCUCAUUUUCAUGGUUCAGUGGUCAAAGUUAAGUUUUUGAGUUUUGGUCUUUUUUUCUAAUACUAUAUGCAAUAGUUCAACUAUAUUUGGUAUGUGCGUACCUUGCAAGGUCCUCAUGCCCGUCAGACAGUUUUCACUUGACCUCAACCUCAUUUCAUGGAUCAGUGAACAAGGUUAAGUUUUGGUGGUCAAGUCCAUAUCUCAGAUACUAUAAGCAAUAGGUCUUGUAUAUUCGGUGUAUGGAAGGAUUGUAAGGUGUACAUGUCCAACUGGCAGGUGUCAUCUGACCUUGACCUCAUUUUCAUGGUUCAGUGGUUAUAGUUAAGUUUUUGUGUUUUGGUCUGUUUUUCUUAUACUGUAUGCCAUAGGUCUACUUUAUUUGGUGUAUGGAAUGAUUGUAAGGUGUACAUGUCCAGCGGGCAGGUGUCAUCUGACCUUGACCUCAUUUUCAUGGUUCAGUGGUCAAAGUUAAGUUUUUGAGUUUUGGUCUUUUUUUCUAAUACUAUAUGCAAUAGUUCAACUAUAUUUGGUAUGUGCGUACCUUGCAAGGUCCUCAUGCCCGUCAGACAGUUUUCACUUGACCUCAACCUCAUUUCAUGGAUCAGUGAACAAGGUUAAGUUUUGGUGGUCAAGUCCAUAUCUCAGAUACUAUAAGCAAUAGGUCUUGUAUAUUCGGUGUAUGGAAGGAUUGUAAGGUGUACAUGUCCAACUGGCAGGUGUCAUCUGACCUUGACCUCAUUUUCAUGGUUCAGUGGUUAUAGUUAAGUUUUUGUGUUUUGGUCUGUUUUUCUUAUACUGUAUGCCAUAGGUCUACUAUAUUUGGUGUAUUGCUCGAUAUUGUAAGG
This is a long non-coding RNA of Mytilus californianus (California mussel), 4474 nucleotides long. RefSeq lists it as uncharacterized. The record is from RefSeq and is a predicted model, not a curated record. The transcript is spliced from 3 exons. Lineage: Eukaryota; Metazoa; Mollusca; Bivalvia; Mytilida; Mytilidae.